GACGAACGCUGGCGGCGUGCUUAACACAUGCAAGUCGAACGGAAAGGCCCUGCUUUUGUGGGGUGCUCGAGUGGCGAACGGGUGAGUAACACGUGAGUAACCUGCCCUUGACUUUGGGAUAACUUCAGGAAACUGGGGCUAAUACCGGAUAGGAGCUCCUGCUGCAUGGUGGGGGUUGGAAAGUUUCGGCGGUUGGGGAUGGACUCGCGGCUUAUCAGCUUGUUGGUGGGGUAGUGGCUUACCAAGGCUUUGACGGGUAGCCGGCCUGAGAGGGUGACCGGCAACAUUGGACCUGGGAUCCGGCCCGGACUCCAACGGGGGCAGGAGGUGGGGAUAAUGCCAAAAGGGGCGAAGGCCGAAUGAGCCACCGCCGGUGGGGGAAGGCCGCCCUCGGGUUGUAAACCGCUUUCGCCUGUGACGAGGCGUGAGUGACGGUAAUGGGUAAAGAAGCACCGGCUAACUACGUG
RNAcentral lists this ribosomal RNA (467 nucleotides) under uncultured bacterium. RNAcentral describes it as "partial 16S ribosomal RNA". It matches the Rfam family "Bacterial small subunit ribosomal RNA", at positions 28 to 507 of the family's 1533-position model. The record is from RNAcentral.